This 254-nucleotide ribosomal RNA is filed under the name uncultured bacterium. Its description in RNAcentral is "partial 16S ribosomal RNA". It matches the Rfam family "Bacterial small subunit ribosomal RNA", at positions 524 to 776 of the family's 1533-position model. The record is from RNAcentral.
UACAGAGGUCUCGAGCGUUGUUCGGAUUCAUUGGGCGUAAAGGGUGCGUAGGUGGCGCUGUAAGUCGGGUGUGAAAUCCUGAGGCUUAACCUCGGAACUGCAUUCGAUACUGCGGCGCUUUGAGGACUGGAGAGGAGACUGGAAUUCAUGGUGUAGCAGUGAAAUGCGUAGAGAUCAUGAGGAAGACCAGUGGCGAAGGCGGGUCUCUGGACAGUUCCUGACACUGAGGCACGAAGGCCAGGGGAGCAAACGGG